CUUAAAUUUGAUAAAACUUAGUAUGUGUCCUAACAGAAUACACCAUCUGCAAAUAAGAAUAUUGUGUAUUUUCUUGCUUUUGACUGGAAAGUUCUUUACUCAUCUGUUAAACCUAGUUGGUCUAUAAUAUGGUUUUGAUGUUCAUGUCCUCCAAACCUUAUGAUUAAAUGUAAUUUUUAAUGUUGGAUGUGAGACCUGGUGGGAGGUGUUUGGGUCGUGGGGGCAAAGUCCUCAUAGAUAGCUUGGCACCAUCCUCUCGGUAAUGAAAAUGUUUACACUCCAUUAAUUCAAAUGAAAGCAGGUUUAUUGGAAGAACCUGGCUCCUUCACCUCAUACUUGCUCUGUCUCUCAUCAUGUAAUAUGUGCAGUUACUCUUCGCCUCCAACCGUGACUGUAAGCUUGGUGACACUCUCACCAGAAGCAGAUGCUGGCACACUUUCUACAGUCUGCUAAAUUGUGAGCCAAAUAAAUAUUAUUUCUUUAUAAGUUAUCCAAUCUCCAGUAUUCAACUAUAUGCAAAAUAAUUGAUACAGUCUAUAAUGUUGUCUAGGUUUUCUGUUUUCUUAUUUUUUGUUUAAUGUGAAUUUUCUAUUAUGGAAAAUGGGCUCUUGAUGUCUACAAUUAUUAUGUUGUUAUGUAUUUCUUGCUUUACUUUUGUCAAUAUUUGCUUUAUAUAUUUUGGAGCCCUGAUGUUGUACAUGUACAUACAGAUAGAUAGAUAGAUAGAUAGAUAGAUAGAUAGAUAGAUAUAAUAGUUAUAAAUUUGUGGUAAAUCAACCCAUUUUACCAAUAUAUACUAUCAAUGUUUGUCUCACGUUAGCACUUGACUUAAAAUAUAUUAUGUCUAAUACCCAAGUGUAGUUACUAUUUUCAUAAAAUACAGGUUUUUGCACUAUGUAAUUUUCAGCCUAUUUGACUCAAUGCUAAAAUGAGUCCCUUGUAGGUAGCAUAUUGUUUGCUUUUUCUUAAGCCACUAAAGCAUUUUAUUUUUUCUUUUUAUAAUUUCAUUUAUUUACUUGUUUAUUCAUUUAUUUUUGAGAUAGGUCUCGCUCUGUCAACCAGGCUGGUUUGCAGUGUUGUGAUCAUGGCUCACAGCAGCCUCAAUCUCUCAAACUCAGAAGAUUCUCUCAUUUCAGCCUCUCAGGUAGCUGGGUUACAAGUGUGUAGCAUCACACCUAGCUAGUUUUUUUUGUAUUUAUGGUUGAGACAGAGUUUUUCCGUGUUGCCGAGGCUGGUCUCAAACUUCUGAGAUCCAGUGAUCAGCCCAUCUUAGCCUCCCAAAGUCCUGAGAUUAUAUUUUUUUCUAUUAAGUAGUUUAAUUAAUUUAUAUUUAAAAUUAUUUAUUAAAAGUGAAGUUACUACUUUUAUUGUGAUUGUUUUAUGUGUUCCUCAGUGGUAUUUUUUAUAUGUUGGUUUAUUGCCUUAAAUUUCAUUUUAAUUUUGUAGUGAUGUGCUUCAAUUAUUUUUUAUAUCUUGUUUUGCAUAGUUUCUAUAAAUAUUAUCUUCAUAAUCA
Molecule: small RNA, 1513 nt
Filed under: Pongo abelii (Sumatran orangutan)
Lineage: Eukaryota; Metazoa; Chordata; Mammalia; Primates; Hominidae
Description: sense intronic
Source: RNAcentral